AACGCGAAGAACCUUACCUGGCCUUGACAUACUAGAAACUUUCCAGAGAUGGAUUGGUGCCUUCGGGAAUCUAGAUACAGGUGCUGCAUGGCUGUCGUCAGCUCGUGUCGUGAGAUGUUGGGUUAAGUCCCGCAACGAGCGCAACCCUUUUCCUUACUUGCCAGCAUUUCGGAUGGGAACUUUAAGGAUACUGCCAGUGACAAACUGGAGGAAGGCGGGGACGACGUCAAGUCAUCAUGGCCCUUACGGCCAGGGCUACACACGUGCUACAAUGGUCGGUACAAAGGGUUGCUACACAGCGAUGUGAUGCUAAUCUCAAAAAGCCGAUCGUAGUCCGGAUUGGAGUCUGCAACUCGACUCCAUGAAGUCGGAAUCGCUAGUAAUCGUGGAUCAGAAUGCCGCGGUGAAUACGUUCCCGGGUCUUGUACACACGC
This 434-nucleotide ribosomal RNA is filed under the name uncultured rumen bacterium. RNAcentral describes it as "bacterial SSU rRNA". It matches the Rfam family "Bacterial small subunit ribosomal RNA", at positions 958 to 1393 of the family's 1533-position model. The record is from RNAcentral.